Molecule: long non-coding RNA, 6254 nt
Filed under: Sus scrofa (pig)
Lineage: Eukaryota; Metazoa; Chordata; Mammalia; Artiodactyla; Suidae
Description: lncRNA (ENSSSCG00060012205.1)
Source: RNAcentral
GGGAUCUCCUCCCUCCUUGAUUAUUAUAUAUCACUUAUAUCAUAAUCUUGGAAAGUGUCAGAAAUAGUCUGGUUUUCUAAUGAAGGGGCUUUAGGAAAUCAUCAUCAGAUUUAUAUCUCUUAUAUAAGAGAGAAGAGAGGUCCUUUGUGAGGAGUCCAUAGGGAUGGAGGUGACAGACCGGAAGAGGAAAGGUUGGAACUAGAUCAUGGAAGACUUCAAAGGUCUGUGUUCAAGAUCAGUUGAUCUUGGAGAACUGGGCGGGGGUGGGGGGUGGGAGGGGAAUCAACUGAAUGACAUGAUUAGAGCUAUAACUCCAACAAAAGAAAGAAUAUAACAUGUCUUAGCAGAAAAAAAAUAAAAUUCAAAGAGAGUGGAGAGUAUUCUGUAUUUCCCAGUGGCAUAGAGGAGGGACCUGAACUAAGAGAGUGGGAAUGGAGGGGGGCGAUCCUCUGAGGUGGAAGGAUCAGACUGGAUGAUUGUUUGUUUGAUGAUAAUUUGCCUGUAGGGGCACAUGGAAAGAAAAAGAACUGGGAUGGUACUGAGGUCCCUGGCAUUAGUGACACAGAGGAUGAAAGGUUUUGAAGAUUCAGGGGGAUGGAUGAUGAUCUCGUUUUGUGCCACAGGCCAGUGGAUUUAGAAUUGAGAAAUGAUUGACACGGGAGGUGAUGUCUUCAUGAAUGGUAAUCCAAUUUUGAUGUGAAAAAUAUGUGAAAGUUGGGGAAGUAAUAAUAUCUCAUAAACUUGUAUAGCUUGGCAGAGGAGAAAGAAUGAGGUCAUGGGUGAGACUAGCUUGUUUAGUAAUAAUAAAGCUGAUAAUCACAGCUGAGAGUCACUGAGCUCUUCCAGGCACCAAGGAGUGCUUCUCAUCACACCCUCGUCAAAGAGACUGUGUUAUUAUUUUCUUUCUGCUGACAAAGGAAGAAAGACACGUAGAACACAAUAGAAAGUCAUCCUCCAUGUAAUAGACAUGUUUCAAGACUACAGCAUGGCACCUGAGUUUAGGAGUAAGAAAAUGGAUUCACAACAGGAGCUAGAAUGUAAUUAAUAUUUCGUAGCACUUUGCAUACACCUUUGUUUUAUAAUUGCUAAGGCACAGGACCACUGCUGUCUAAAACAUACAGUGGAGAUACAAGUCUGAUGAUUUUCUAAGACCCCUUCAUUAGAAAAGCAGACUAUUUAAGGUGGAUUUCCGACACUUUCCAAGAUUAUUGUAUAAGUGUGACUUAGAAUAGAAACUUCAAUGCGUUGAGUUAAUAUUUAUAAAAGUGGUUAGAAUGGUGCUUAAUAAGAAGUCAAAUAACAUUAGCCAUUAUUAUUAGCAUCACAUCAAUCCAUAGAGCCAGUAAAGAUAGAGUGCUGUUUACCAAGCACUGGGGAAUUGAGAUGAAAGACAGAGCCUGCCAUUAAGGAACAGUCUAAGGGGCAGGAAGGCAAAGCAGCCAACUACAGAGGGUACUGAUCCAUUAAAAAAUAAAAGAUUGAGUUAAUUAUCGAAUAUCUUAAGUGGUGUGCACUUUCUAAGCCUUGAAGACAGAAGAAAUAGCAAAGACAAAUAAAAUUAAAUGCAUUCGUGUUUAUAACUUUCAUACCAAAUAAAAGAUCCAAUUAGGCCCUGCUUGAAUUGUGAAUUUGUAAUAUAAUUUGUAGGAAAAUAAAGAAAGGAAACUGCCUUUAAGGUAUAUAAUAGUAUCAAUUACCUAGUAAGCAUCUCAUGGAUUUUGAUGAUGAAUAUAUGUGACCAGCCAUUUGCUAAAGAGUAAUCAACAUGUCUAAACAAAAACAAUAGCAACAACAAAAAAACCCCUACAACUUUAACAGUAAUCAGGGAAAUAUAAAUUAAAACCAUCAGAAGAUACUUUUUCCUUUUCAGAUUCGUUUCCGUUGCCCCCAGUGAAACUCCACAAGAUAAUUUUUAGAAAAGACAGAAGCAUUAGUAAUAAUCAUUACUAUAAAACAGCAAAUAAUUUUAUGAUAGGCAAAUAGGUUUUUUUUUUUUUCAAUCUAGUUACAAAUCAGCUAAGCCAUGGAAAAAUAUGCUAGAGGGUAGGCUAGAUGUAAAAAGUUUAGACCAAAUUUCUUCAUAGACCAAUAUGAGGAGUUGAGAGCCCUUCUACUUUUAAAAUACUCUGUUCUGUGAGUCUUUAGUAUCACAAAGUAUAAAGUUGAAGAAUAUCAGAUUCUUUUCAACUAGAGGAUGAACACUGAGUCUUCCAUUUGAUUUUUAACACAACGGCUCUGUUUAUUAUAACCGUUUGUUACCAUGAAAGUAUAAACUGAAAGGUAGCAAUGAUGGGUGAGUGUAAUAUAUUAUGUUGAAUAAACUUGUCCCGUGCACAGUACAUGGAAAGCUCUGUUUAUAUUACAGUAAGCUGUUUUCUGCUGCAUUUACAAUUCUGCUAGGCAAAUAAAGAGGGCUUAUGACAGCCCAAUUUAGUUUAUCUGGUCAACCCCCCAAGACAUUAUUAUAAUUUUAGCAUCUUUAACUCUAUUUGGAUAUUUAGAAAUGCAAUAUCAAUGAAGUCUUUUCUAAAAGAAAAGAGUGAUUUCGCUGAUCAUUUAGAAAAAAGAACAAAAUUACUGGACCAAAACCUGGACGUACAGUUCAGCAGACAUCAAACUUGCAAAGGAGGUGAAUAUAAAAGUCACUGUGUGAGAUUGAAGGAGACUUUAAAAAUAAAAUACACAUAUAAAUGGAAAUAUAUAUAAAAUAUUUUUUCACACACCUUCCCACAGUUGGUUCAGGUUUCAACUUUGGUUUGGGCCCAGGGUAAAAAAGGGGUAUUAAAGGGGGGUGUAGAAUUUGCUAAUGGUUCUACAUUCUCUUCUCUAUUAUGUGGAAUAGAAAUCAAGACAAGAAAUGUAGUUAAUUAUAGUAUUUACUUAACGAGGUUUAAUUUUCUGUUACGUAGGAUGAGGGUUCACCUUCUGGUAUGUAUGUUUAAUUGUAGCCUAAAGAGGCAGGGCAACAGGACCGAGUGGAAGGAGGCCUGGGUUUGGAGUAAGAAAAUCCAAAUCCUGGCUCAGCUGCAUGUCAGGUAGGUGACUAGGUGAUCACUUAACACACUACAUCAGUUUUUGGAUGCUUAGUUAGGCUCUCAAAUUCUGCUAUCUCAAAAUUAAAUGAGAAAUAUGAUGCUCUGGUCCUUUAAUAAUAUAGGGACCUUCGCAAGUUACGCAUGUUGUGCCUUUUCAAGCCACUCUCUUCUAGCCAAAUGAGAUCCCACUUAUUGUAAGCAUCUCAUGGCCCUGCAGUUGCAUGUGCUCUUCCUUUGUCAAGAUAGCUUUCCCCUCUCCUUUUCCAAGUGAGAGUUUUAUCAUCUUUCUGUACCCAUCUCAAAUUCUCUCUCUACUCUAAAACUUUUCUCUAAGGUAUUUUUAGUUAUCUCUUCUUUUAUUUCAAAAAUAUAUACUGCUUCUAGCAGACUCACAGACAUCAAAAACAAACUUAUGGUUAUCAAAGAGGAGUGGGAGGGAAAGAGGGACAAGUUAAGAGCAUGGGACUGACAGAUGCAAACUACUCUAUGUAAAAUAGAAAAGCAACAGCUCAGCCAUAGAAAAAGCAAUGAAAUAAUGCCAUUUGCAGCAACAUGGAUGGACCUAGGAACUAUCAUCCUAAGUGAAGUUAGUCAAGACAGUGAAAGACAAACUUCAGAUGAUAUCACUUAUAUGUGGAAUCUAAAAAACAGGAUACAAAUGAAAUUAUUCGCAGAAUAAAAACAGACUCACAGACUUUGAAAAAUGUUAUGGUUACCAAACGCGACUGGGGUCAGAGGAAUGGACUGGAGUUUGGAAUUGGCAUAUGCACACUGAGGUAUAUGAAAUGAUUGGCUAACAAGGACCUGCCUUAUAGCACAGAGAACUUUACCCAAUAUACUGUGAUGAUCUAUAUGGGAAAAGCUGAAAGAGAAUGGAUAUGUGUACAUGUAUGACUGAAUCAUUUUGUCAUACAGCAGAAAUUAUCACAACCUUGUAAAUCAACUCUACUUCAAUAAAACUUAAAAAAAUAUAAAUAGCACAAAAUAGAUAAGCAACAGUGAUUUACUGUGUAGCACAGGGAAUUAUACUCAAUGUCUUGUAACUACCUGUAAUGGAAAAGAAUCUGAAAAAAAUUUAACUGAAUCACUGUGUUGUAUACCUGAAACUAACACAAUAAUGUAAAUCAAUCAAAUCAAUUGAAAAUGUAUCUACUGCCUCUAAUAGUAAUAAAAAUACAUUGUAUAAAAAUAGAAAUAAAAAGGUAAAAAUAAAUAUCAACUAUAACUCUAGGAAUAGAGAUAAGUACCAUUAGUAUUUAGUAUGAUUUCUUCCAAUUUAACUUAAUGCAAACCUAUUCUCCCUCUCCAAAAAGCAACCAGUUGCAACAAUAGUAGUAAUCACAAAGCCAAUUUGGGAACUAAUCUGUAGAUACUUCCCUAUUCUCUUUUCCACUUAUAUUAAAUCAUGCGCAUUUUUAAAUAGCUUCAUCUUUGAAAAUAUUAUUUAAAUAUUUCAGUCUAUCCCGUAGGUAGAGCAGAGUUAGUGGAAUUCCUCUCUUGUUGGCCAUCAAGGCUAUUUAAAAUAUUUUCCUUUUAUAAACAAAGCAUUCUUGUGUACAUCUAACACUAUUUCUAUAAGGCAAAUUCUUCAAAAAAGAAUUUCCUGGGCAUGUACAUUUCUAAUACUUUUGCAAUAUACUGCCAAAUGGGCCCCUGGGGAGCUGGCGUCAUCUUGCACUUCUGCCAGCCCCACACAGUAGCGCCUGAUUUCACUGAGCUCUUCCUGCAAGGGCCUCACUCAUCAUGUUGUAUUUUGAUGAUUUAUUACUUGUCCCUCUCACUCCCUAGACUACAACUUUCCAGGUGGCAGGAGCUGUGUCUGGCUCAUUUUGAACCCUAGGGUCUAGUGCAGAGCCUGCUCUGGAAAAGAAGUGCCAAGUGAGUCAAUAGAAUUAUAUUUUACCCGUUUUUGUCAUGUAUAUCUAUGAUUCUUAACUGUCCAUGAUAUUAAAAAAAUAAGAAAUUCUGCCAUUUCUACCAUGUCAUUGAACAACCUUGUGAUUUUGGUAUGUUAGUUUUAGGAUUGGCUUUGUUCUAGCCUAUGACAGAUUCCCUCUCGCACACAGUUUUAGUUGUGUAGAGCAUAAAUAUGGUCAUGAAAAGUGAGUUUGUAUCUAUUCCACUUUUGAUUAUGAGUAUUUUGAAAAAAAAAUCAUGAAGCUAGGUGUAAAAUGUGUAGGAGUUCCAUGCUGUUGGCAUAAUUGCCCUAGGUAACUCGAGUUAUAAAUGCCCACAGUGGUUAUAUAUUCAGUUUGUUAUCAAGUGGAAUUAUAAGAUGUUGAUGAUUUAUCUUUGGUUAGGUGUCUCUCCUUAAAUCUUUUAAUCAUUCUUCUCAAUGCAGUAUUGAGAUAUUGCUUAUCAAAUAGAACAUUUGCCAUCUGACCCUAAAAAUCACAUUAUAGUGAUGAAGUGAGAGGUGGGAUCAGGGUUUUAGUAACAGUGUCGGCAUGAAAUGUGGGCAUGGGUACAGCGCAGCAAGUGCUCAGUGCAUCCAGGAAGCACACCAUAACAGUCUGAAUUUGAAAUAAAAUGAAACAGCCUAUCCUUUAUAAUCCUGCAGGAUUAAGUUUUUAAGUUAUACCAGAUAAUACCAAGAUUACUGCCAAGAAUACCUGUUUCGGCCAGAAAAGAUCUAUUAAGUCAAGAACAUGGAGAGUUGGCCUCUCAUGGUGUUGGGAGCACAGAAUGGGGGUUUAGAUGCUGGCUGGGUGUGGCCAUGGGCUGCUUCUCCCAGCUCCCACACCUUCCUUUCCUCACUGAUGUACCAAGGAUAAGAAUGAUACAGACCCAUUUCACAGGUGUCAUGCAGAUUAAAUGAAUUUAGCACAUUUGGAACACUUUAAACAGUGCCUGAAACAUAUCUUUUAAAAUCAGAUUUUCUAAUGAAUCAAGAUCGCAAACUUCAUAAAAUCUUGUUAAUAAAGUUUAACCUAGUAGCCAAUGAAAAAGUCCAGACAAGGGAUGGGGAAAAAAUAAAAGAAAAUGUGUUUUAUACUGUAGUAUUACUGAAUACAAAACAUAUGAGUAAAGUAGCUCAGAAUCAACAUAAUUCGUAAAAUAUUUGAUCUUGUUUUCCUAUUGUGUUUUUAAGUUGAAUAUUAUAAGUUAAUAUGCUUAUUUUAUUAGAUUUUAACAAUAAAAUAAUUGAUUAAAUCGAUUACUUAGAAAUAAAAUAAAUUAUGAAAUUUAAACAGCCCAGCUUGUUUUGUAAGGAAGGAA